This 459-nucleotide ribosomal RNA is filed under the name Parazoarcus communis. RNAcentral describes it as "bacterial SSU rRNA". It matches the Rfam family "Bacterial small subunit ribosomal RNA", at positions 202 to 654 of the family's 1533-position model. The record is from RNAcentral. Lineage: Bacteria; Pseudomonadati; Pseudomonadota; Betaproteobacteria; Rhodocyclales; Zoogloeaceae.
NNNNCGGACCUCACGUGAUUGGAGCGGCCGAUGUCAGAUUAGCUAGUUGGUGAGGUAAAGGCUCACCAAGGCGACGAUCUGUAGCGGGUCUGAGAGGAUGAUCCGCCACACUGGGACUGAGACACGGCCCAGACUCCUACGGGAGGCAGCAGUGGGGAAUUUUGGACAAUGGGCGCAAGCCUGAUCCAGCCAUGCCGCGUGAGUGAAGAAGGCCUUCGGGUUGUAAAGCUCUUUCGCAAGGGAAGAAAACGUGUGGGCUAAUAUCCUGCGCGGAUGACGGUACCUUGACAAGAAGCACCGGCUAACUACGUGCCAGCAGCCGCGGUAAUACGUAGGGUGCGAGCGUUAAUCGGAAUUACUGGGCGUAAAGCGUGCGCAGGCGGUUGUGUAAGACAGGUGUGAAAUCCCCGGGCUUAACCUGGGAACUGCGCUUGUGACUGCACGGCUAGAGUACGGCAG